Canis lupus familiaris (dog) is the source of this 1219-nucleotide long non-coding RNA. RefSeq lists it as uncharacterized. Lineage: Eukaryota; Metazoa; Chordata; Mammalia; Carnivora; Canidae. The record is from RefSeq and is a predicted model, not a curated record. The transcript is spliced from 2 exons.
GCUCUGUGCUAGGAACCCUCCAGUCUCUCACAUACAUGCUGUGAGAGCUCACCCUAUGCAGCUUUGAAACAUUGGUCCUCAGGGAGGAGACAGGACUCAUAAAGACUACAGAAUCAGGGAAGAGCAAGAGACUUUGUCUUUCAGAGUGAUGGUCUAGAUUUCUUAAGUGGUACAUUGGAAAGAGUGUCAGAUUUGGAGUUAAACAGCUAAGCAAAGUGCAGUUUGCUGAGAUGGAAGAAAAGAGGCAUCUCAGGCCAGAUGAACAGAAAGAACAAAGAUGUAGGACCAGGAAAGAGCUCAGUAUAUCCAGAGUUGCAAACUGGAACCUCAUCCUGGAAAUGAUAGGGGAGCCAAAGAAAGUUGAAAAACGAAGAACAAAAUACACAAUGAAGAUUUAAUUACAAUUUGAGGCAGAAUGGGCCUAGAACAGAUGGGAGAGCCUGGUGUGGGUAGUUUAAAGCCAUCCAGGAAGGAUCUUUGCCGUGAGAAAGAUCUCUAGGAAGAACAAAACAAUUCCACCUCAACCUUGGAAGACUUUCCUGAGGCGGCCCAGGAGACAGGGGCAGAGUUUGGCCUGAAACUGGAUGUCAUUAGCACUGUGUCCCUGCUUCUUUACCUACCCCAGGACAUAUUCAUUGUGCCUCUAUCCUCUACAACGGCAGUGUUUCUUUGGAGACUUUUCUUACGAUUCCUAAAUCUCCUCAUGAUAUAUCUAAAUCCUGCCUAUCCUUCAAUACCCAGUUCAAGUCAAUCAACCCAAUAAAUAUUUUCUGGGCUCCUAUGUCUGCCCUGGCCUAAGCUGAGAGAUUCAGAAAUAAAUAUAAUGGGUGAGGGUUCCAUCCUUAAAUGAGCUCCCAGGCGGAGUGGGGGACACAGACACGUAACAGAUGAUUUCACUAUACUGGUCAGUCCUAAUAAAGGUGUGAUGGACUUUUUAUGCUUUCUGGGGAACGGGGAGGUGGGCAAAUCAGGGCGCCAAGGGAGAGAGGAAGAAGUUAAGCAAAGCUCAUGAAGAAUUAAGUGUAGCCGGACUAUGAGAUAUGUGCUUGCCAGAGUAGAGGAUGACCAGAUUAUGAAGGAUGUUGAAUACCCCACUAAGGAAUUUGCUCUUGAUCCUAAAAGCCAUAGGGAGUUAUUAAAUAGUUUGCAGCAAAGGAGGCACAUGAUCAGAUCUGUGUUUUAAGAAGAGCAAAUGUAAAAAAAAAAAAAAAAAAAAAAA